Molecule: ribosomal RNA, 470 nt
Filed under: Williopsis saturnus
Lineage: Eukaryota; Fungi; Ascomycota; Saccharomycetes; Phaffomycetales; Wickerhamomycetaceae
Description: Cyberlindnera saturnus partial 26S ribosomal RNA
Rfam family: Eukaryotic large subunit ribosomal RNA
Source: RNAcentral
AGUAACGGCGAGUGAAGCGGCAAAAGCUCAAAUUUGAAAUCUGGUACCUUUGGUGCCCGAGUUGUAAUUUGAAGAUAGUUUUCUGGUGCUGGCCCUUGUCUAUGUUCCUUGGAACAGGACGUCACAGAGGGUGAGAAUCCCGUCUGGCGGGGUGUCCAGUGCUUUGUAGAUUUCUAUCGACGAGUCGAGUUGUUUGGGAAUGCAGCUCUAAGUGGGUGGUAAAUUCCAUCUAAAGCUAAAUAUUGGCGAGAGACCGAUAGCGAACAAGUACAGUGAUGGAAAGAUGAAAAGAACUUUGAAAAGAGAGUGAAAAAGUACGUGAAAUUGUUGAAAGGGAAGGGUAUUAGAUCAGACUUGGUGUUUUGUGAUUAUCUUCCCUUCUUGGGUUGUGCACUCGCAUUUCACUGGGCCAGCAUCGGUUCGGGUGGUAAGAUAAUGACAUUGGAACGUGGCACUACCUUCGGGUGGUG